ACAAACUUGGUCAUUUAGAGGAAGUAAAAGUCGUAACAAGGUCUCCGUUGGUGAACCAGCGGAGGGAUCAUUACUGAGUGUAAAAACUCCCAAACCAUUGUGAACCUUACCAUCGUUGCUUCGGCGGACUCGCCCCGGGCGCGCCCCCUCUCGCGGGGGGGAGCGUCCCGGACCCAAGGCGGCCGCCGGGGGAAACCAAACUCCAUGUAUUUGCUGUGGCAUCUUCUGAGUGACAACUAAAUGAAUCAAAACUUUCAACAACGGAUCUCUUGGCUCUAGCAUCGAUGAAGAACGCAGC
This 298-nucleotide unclassified non-coding RNA is filed under the name uncultured fungus. RNAcentral's name for it is "partial contains small subunit ribosomal RNA, internal transcribed spacer 1, and 5.8S ribosomal RNA". The stretch from base 1 to 73 matches the Rfam family "Eukaryotic small subunit ribosomal RNA", at positions 1759 to 1831 of the family's 1831-position model. The record is from RNAcentral. Lineage: Eukaryota; Fungi.